GUAAUCCAGUGUCCCAUAAGCUUGAUUCGAUUUUCUGGCAGCUACCAAGAAGAGCAAAUGCACGAUUCACAAGUUUCGUUUCGCCAUUUUCAAGCAAUCCCACGUGACCUCCUUUGGAUCAGUGAAAAGUGAAAAUUACUCGCGUCAUGAACAUAUAUGUUCAUCUCAGCGCAAAUCACGUUUCGCAUGCUAUAGAAGGAGGGGGGAUCAAUACUCUUCCUUUCGUGUUUUGAUAUCUUGUUGUUUUGCUACUCUCACUUCGGAGUUCGGAUGGUGUCUAGCAACGUUGGGUACCUCGUUUCUUGUGUGUGUGAGCGAGUGGUUGCUGUUUACGAUGUGUUCAUAUAUCGCUUUGUAGUGCUGUAAUGUGCAAAUUAGCGGACUUUAUAGCGGCUCUCUAUUUUCCGUCGUUGUCUUUCGAGCAGCGCCUGUUGUUCCGGUAAAAAUCGAGUUGAAUGAAUCGCCACAGCCCCAACGUAUAUCGCGCAGUGUUGACCAAGACCAAGUCAAGCAGGAAUUCUGGCAUGGUAUGUGGCUGCACGAAGGAUUCCGGAAAAGAAAAACAACAACAUGGCUAAUAGGAUGUUGCUGCCCAGGGAGUCCUGGCGAAGAGGUUUACUCAUUCCAGAAGCAAGAAUUGUAUCAUUGUAAGGCGAAUGGAAAUAAACUGACAUCGACUGAGA
This is a long non-coding RNA of Ornithodoros turicata, 683 nucleotides long. RefSeq lists it as uncharacterized. NCBI's taxonomy places the organism in Eukaryota, Metazoa, Arthropoda, Arachnida, Ixodida, Argasidae. The record is from RefSeq and is a predicted model, not a curated record. The transcript is spliced from 3 exons.